CAGCCGCCGCGGGAAUACAGAGGAUGCAAGCGUUAAUCGGAAUUACUGGGCGUAAAGCGUGCGCAGGCGGUUGUGUAAGUCUGAUGUGAAAGCCCCGGGCUCAACCUGGGAACUGCAUUGGAGACUGCACGGCUAGAGUGCGUCAGAGGGGGGUAGAAUUCCGCGUGUAGCAGUGAAAUGCGUAGAGAUGCGGAGGAAUACCGAUGGCGAAGGCAGCCCCCUGGGAUGACACUGACGCUCAUGCACGAAAGCGUGGGGAGCAAACAGGAUUAGAUACCCCCGUAGUCCCUGUCUCUUAUAU
RNAcentral lists this ribosomal RNA (301 nucleotides) under uncultured bacterium. RNAcentral describes it as "partial 16S ribosomal RNA". It matches the Rfam family "Bacterial small subunit ribosomal RNA", at positions 509 to 809 of the family's 1533-position model. The record is from RNAcentral.